RNAcentral lists this ribosomal RNA (418 nucleotides) under uncultured bacterium. Its description in RNAcentral is "bacterial SSU rRNA". It matches the Rfam family "Bacterial small subunit ribosomal RNA", at positions 355 to 787 of the family's 1533-position model. The record is from RNAcentral.
UGGGGAAUAUUGGGCAAUGGGCGCAAGCCUGACCCAGCAAUGCCGCGUGAAGGAAGAAGGCCCUCGGGUUGUAAACUUCUUUUAUCAGGGACGAAGGAUGUGACGGUACCUGAUGAAUAAGCUCCGGCUAACUACGUGCCAGCAGCCGCGGUAAUACGUAGGGAGCAAGCGUUAUCCGGAUUUACUGGGUGUAAAGGGCGCGUAGGCGGGAUCGCAAGUCAGAUGUGAAAUGCAGGGGCUCAACCCCUGAACUGCAUUUGAAACUGUCGUUCUUGAGUACUGGAGAGGUUGACGGAAUUCCUAGUGUAGCGGUGAAAUGCGUAGAUAUUAGGAGGAACACCAGUGGCGAAGGCGGUCAACUGGACAGCAACUGACGCUGAGGCGCGAAAGCGUGGGGAGCAAACAGGAUUAGAUACCC